MicroRNA precursor from Gossypium arboreum, 125 nucleotides. It matches the Rfam family "MIR7502 microRNA precursor family". The record is from Rfam. NCBI's taxonomy places the organism in Eukaryota, Viridiplantae, Streptophyta, Magnoliopsida, Malvales, Malvaceae.
UGUUAAAAAAUUCAUCCAUUUUUACUAUUAAAAUCUGGUAUGAUUGAUAGAAUAAUUAGACAGUUAUUCGUGUUGACGUAUAGAGACCAGUUUUUAAACAAUAGAAAUAGAUGAAUUUUUUAACA